RNAcentral lists this ribosomal RNA (242 nucleotides) under uncultured bacterium. RNAcentral's name for it is "partial 16S ribosomal RNA". It matches the Rfam family "Bacterial small subunit ribosomal RNA", at positions 91 to 334 of the family's 1533-position model. The record is from RNAcentral.
ACGAGUGGCGGACGGGUGAGUAACGCGUGGGAAUCUACCCAGUAGUUGGGGAUAGCCCGGAGAAAUCCGGAUUAAUACCGAAUAAGGUCUACGGACGAAAAGGUGCCUCUUCUUGAAAGCACUUGCUAUUGGAUGAGCCCGCGUUAGAUUAGUUUGUUGGUGGGGUAAAGGCCUACCAAGACUACGAUCUAUAGCUGGUUUGAGAGGAUGACCAGCCACAUUGGGACUGAGACACGGCCCAG